Cavia porcellus (domestic guinea pig) is the source of this 106-nucleotide non-coding RNA. The record is from Rfam. NCBI's taxonomy places the organism in Eukaryota, Metazoa, Chordata, Mammalia, Rodentia, Caviidae.
UAAUAUUUGGUGUUUGCUUUGGCACCAAAUUGGAAUGAUACAGAGAAGAUUAGCAAGGCCCCUGUGCAAGGAUGACACGAAGAUUCAUGAAGCAUUCCAUACAUGU